Molecule: ribosomal RNA, 2931 nt
Filed under: Escherichia coli
Lineage: Bacteria; Pseudomonadati; Pseudomonadota; Gammaproteobacteria; Enterobacterales; Enterobacteriaceae
Description: bacterial LSU rRNA
Rfam family: Bacterial large subunit ribosomal RNA
Source: RNAcentral
GGGUUGUGAGGUUAAGCGACUAAGCGUACACGGUGGAUGCCCUGGCAGUCAGAGGCGAUGAAGGACGUGCUAAUCUGCGAUAAGCGUCGGUAAGGUGAUAUGAACCGUUAUAACCGGCGAUUUCCGAAUGGGGAAACCCAGUGUGUUUCGACACACUAUCAUUAACUGAAUCCAUAGGUUAAUGAGGCGAACCGGGGGAACUGAAACAUCUAAGUACCCCGAGGAAAAGAAAUCAACCGAGAUUCCCCCAGUAGCGGCGAGCGAACGGGGAGCAGCCCAGAGCCUGAAUCAGUGUGUGUGUUAGUGGAAGCGUCUGGAAAGGCGCGCGAUACAGGGUGACAGCCCCGUACACAAAAAUGCACAUACUGUGAGCUCGAUGAGUAGGGCGGGACACGUGGUAUCCUGUCUGAAUAUGGGGGGACCAUCCUCCAAGGCUAAAUACUCCUGACUGACCGAUAGUGAACCAGUACCGUGAGGGAAAGGCGAAAAGAACCCCGGCGAGGGGAGUGAAAAAGAACCUGAAACCGUGUACGUACAAGCAGUGGGAGCCUCUUAAUGGGGUGACUGCGUACCUUUUGUAUAAUGGGUCAGCGACUUAUAUUCUGUAGCAAGGUUAACCGAAUAGGGGAGCCGAAGGGAAACCGAGUCUUAACUGGGCGUUAAGUUGCAGGGUAUAGACCCGAAACCCGGUGAUCUAGCCAUGGGCAGGUUGAAGGUUGGGUAACACUAACUGGAGGACCGAACCGACUAAUGUUGAAAAAUUAGCGGAUGACUUGUGGCUGGGGGUGAAAGGCCAAUCAAACCGGGAGAUAGCUGGUUCUCCCCGAAAGCUAUUUAGGUAGCGCCUCGUGAAUUCAUCUCCGGGGGUAGAGCACUGUUUCGGCAAGGGGGUCAUCCCGACUUACCAACCCGAUGCAAACUGCGAAUACCGGAGAAUGUUAUCACGGGAGACACACGGCGGGUGCUAACGUCCGUCGUGAAGAGGGAAACAACCCAGACCGCCAGCUAAGGUCCCAAAGUCAUGGUUAAGUGGGAAACGAUGUGGGAAGGCCCAGACAGCCAGGAUGUUGGCUUAGAAGCAGCCAUCAUUUAAAGAAAGCGUAAUAGCUCACUGGUCGAGUCGGCCUGCGCGGAAGAUGUAACGGGGCUAAACCAUGCACCGAAGCUGCGGCAGCGACACUAUGUGUUGUUGGGUAGGGGAGCGUUCUGUAAGCCUGCGAAGGUGUACUGUGAGGUAUGCUGGAGGUAUCAGAAGUGCGAAUGCUGACAUAAGUAACGAUAAAGCGGGUGAAAAGCCCGCUCGCCGGAAGACCAAGGGUUCCUGUCCAACGUUAAUCGGGGCAGGGUGAGUCGACCCCUAAGGCGAGGCCGAAAGGCGUAGUCGAUGGGAAACAGGUUAAUAUUCCUGUACUUGGUGUUACUGCGAAGGGGGGACGGAGAAGGCUAUGUUGGCCGGGCGACGGUUGUCCCGGUUUAAGCGUGUAGGCUGGUUUUCCAGGCAAAUCCGGAAAAUCAAGGCUGAGGCGUGAUGACGAGGCACUACGGUGCUGAAGCAACAAAUGCCCUGCUUCCAGGAAAAGCCUCUAAGCAUCAGGUAACAUCAAAUCGUACCCCAAACCGACACAGGUGGUCAGGUAGAGAAUACCAAGGCGCUUGAGAGAACUCGGGUGAAGGAACUAGGCAAAAUGGUGCCGUAACUUCGGGAGAAGGCACGCUGAUAUGUAGGUGAAGUCCCUCGCGGAUGGAGCUGAAAUCAGUCGAAGAUACCAGCUGGCUGCAACUGUUUAUUAAAAACACAGCACUGUGCAAACACGAAAGUGGACGUAUACGGUGUGACGCCUGCCCGGUGCCGGAAGGUUAAUUGAUGGGGUUAGCGGUAACGCGAAGCUCUUGAUCGAAGCCCCGGUAAACGGCGGCCGUAACUAUAACGGUCCUAAGGUAGCGAAAUUCCUUGUCGGGUAAGUUCCGACCUGCACGAAUGGCGUAAUGAUGGCCAGGCUGUCUCCACCCGAGACUCAGUGAAAUUGAACUCGCUGUGAAGAUGCAGUGUACCCGCGGCAAGACGGAAAGACCCCGUGAACCUUUACUAUAGCUUGACACUGAACAUUGAGCCUUGAUGUGUAGGAUAGGUGGGAGGCUUUGAAGUGUGGACGCCAGUCUGCAUGGAGCCGACCUUGAAAUACCACCCUUUAAUGUUUGAUGUUCUAACGUUGGCCCCUUACCGGGGUUGCGGACAGUGUCUGGUGGGUAGUUUGACUGGGGCGGUCUCCUCCUAAAGAGUAACGGAGGAGCACGAAGGUUGGCUAAUCCUGGUCGGACAUCAGGAGGUUAGUGCAAUGGCAUAAGCCAGCUUGACUGCGAGCGUGACGGCGCGAGCAGGUGCGAAAGCAGGUCAUAGUGAUCCGGUGGUUCUGAAUGGAAGGGCCAUCGCUCAACGGAUAAAAGGUACUCCGGGGAUAACAGGCUGAUACCGCCCAAGAGUUCAUAUCGACGGCGGUGUUUGGCACCUCGAUGUCGGCUCAUCACAUCCUGGGGCUGAAGUAGGUCCCAAGGGUAUGGCUGUUCGCCAUUUAAAGUGGUACGCGAGCUGGGUUUAGAACGUCGUGAGACAGUUCGGUCCCUAUCUGCCGUGGGCGCUGGAGAACUGAGGGGGGCUGCUCCUAGUACGAGAGGACCGGAGUGGACGCAUCACUGGUGUUCGGGUUGUCAUGCCAAUGGCACUGCCCGGUAGCUAAAUGCGGAAGAGAUAAGUGCUGAAAGCAUCUAAGCACGAAACUUGCCCCGAGAUGAGUUCUCCCUGACUCCUUGAGAGUCCUGAAGGAACGUUGAAGACGACGACGUUGAUAGGCCGGGUGUGUAAGCGCAGCGAUGCGUUGAGCUAACCGGUACUAAUGAACCGUGAGGCUUAACCUUACAACGCCGAAGGUGUUU